This 435-nucleotide ribosomal RNA is filed under the name uncultured bacterium. RNAcentral describes it as "partial 16S ribosomal RNA". It matches the Rfam family "Bacterial small subunit ribosomal RNA", at positions 29 to 507 of the family's 1533-position model. The record is from RNAcentral.
AACGAACGCUGGCGGCAUGCCUAACACAUGCAAGUCGAACGAUUGCCUUCGGGUGAUAGUGGCGCACGGGUGCGUAACGCGUGGGAAUCUGCCCUUAGGUUCGGAAUAACAGCUGGAAACGGCUGCUAAUACCGGAUGAUAUCGCGAGAUCAAAGAUUUAUCGCCUGAGGAUGAGCCCGCGUUGGAUUAGGUAGUUGGUGGGGUAAAGGCCUACCAAGCCGACGAUCCAUAGCUGGUCUGAGAGGAUGAUCAGCCACACUGGGACUGAGACACGGCCCAGACUCCUACGGGAGGCAGCUGUGGGGAAUAUUGGACAAUGGGCGCAAGCCUGAUCCAGCAAUGCCGCGUGAGUGAUGAAGGCCCUAGGGUUGUAAAGCUCUUUUACCCGGGAAGAUAAUGACUGUACCGGGAGAAUAAGCCCCGGCUAACUCCGUG